AUUGAACGCUGGCGGCAGGCCUAAUACAUGCAAGUCGAACGAGUGGCGGACGGGUGAGUAAUGUCUGGGAAACUGCCUGAUGGAGGGGGAUAACUACUGGAAACGGUAGCUAAUACCGCAUACCAUCGGAUUUGCCCAGAUGGGCUUAGCUAUUAGGUGGGGUAAAGGCUCACCUAGGCGACGAUCCCUAGCUGUUCUGAGAGGAUGACCAGCAACAUUGGAACUGAGAACCGGUCCAGCCUCCUCCGGGAGGCAGCAGUGGGGAAUAUUGCACAAGGGGCGCAAGCCUAAUGCAGCCAUGCGGCGUGUAUGAAGAAGGCCUUCGGGUUGUAAGGUAUUUUCAGCGGGGAGGCGUUACCCGCAGAAGAAGCAACGGCUAACUCCGUGCCAGCAGCCGCGGUAAUAC
This 406-nucleotide ribosomal RNA is filed under the name uncultured bacterium. RNAcentral describes it as "partial 16S ribosomal RNA". It matches the Rfam family "Bacterial small subunit ribosomal RNA", at positions 30 to 526 of the family's 1533-position model. The record is from RNAcentral.